RNAcentral lists this unclassified non-coding RNA (258 nucleotides) under Glomus sp. RNAcentral describes it as "partial internal transcribed spacer 2". The record is from RNAcentral. Lineage: Eukaryota; Fungi; Glomeromycota; Glomeromycetes; Glomerales; Glomeraceae.
GUGAAUCAUCGAAUCUUUGAACGCAAAUUGCGCUCUCUGCGAAGAGUAGGGGUAUUUCAGGGUGAGCGUAAUAAAUAUCGACAUACUCGGUGUUGCGUGGUGACAUUCGUCGGAUAUUGGGUCAUCUUAAACCUUUUGGUUUUAAGCGGCUUAAGAUUUUCUUUACGAUUCCACGAACGUUUCUAAGAUUUACUUACACGUUUAAGGUAUCGAUCUUUAUUAUACGUGGCUGUUGCAUGGGGUCGCGUGCGUAAAUAU